AGCUGAUAAAGCCACAACCGUUGCGAGGCGGUGUCGGAAAGUUGCGGGUCUCCACAAAGGAGAUAGCCGGGCUGCCUGC
RNAcentral lists this non-coding RNA (79 nucleotides) under Candidatus Electrothrix aarhusensis. RNAcentral's name for it is "c-di-GMP-I riboswitch aptamer". It matches the Rfam family "c-di-GMP-I riboswitch aptamer". Rfam says of the family: GEMM was predicted in a large-scale screen for bacterial structured RNA regulatory elements. Genes associated with GEMM are involved in a diverse array of functions, including chemotaxis regulation, signal transduction, secretion and chitin. Lineage: Bacteria; Pseudomonadati; Thermodesulfobacteriota; Desulfobulbia; Desulfobulbales; Desulfobulbaceae. The record is from Rfam by way of RNAcentral.